GGGUUGUUAGCUCAGUCGGUAGAGCAGCGGACUUUUAAUCCGUUGGUCGCGAGUUCGAGUCUCGCACAACCCACCA
Molecule: transfer RNA, 76 nt
Filed under: Bordetella sp.
Lineage: Bacteria; Pseudomonadati; Pseudomonadota; Betaproteobacteria; Burkholderiales; Alcaligenaceae
Also listed under: 46 other names
Description: tRNA-Lys
Rfam family: tRNA
About the family: Transfer RNA (tRNA) molecules are approximately 80 nucleotides in length. Their secondary structure includes four short double-helical elements and three loops (D, anti-codon, and T loops).
Source: RNAcentral